RNAcentral lists this ribosomal RNA (497 nucleotides) under uncultured bacterium. RNAcentral describes it as "partial 16S ribosomal RNA". It matches the Rfam family "Bacterial small subunit ribosomal RNA", at positions 28 to 507 of the family's 1533-position model. The record is from RNAcentral.
GACGAACGCUGGCGGCGUGCCUAAUACAUGCAAGUUGAGCGAUGAAGAUUGGUGCUUGCACCAAUUUGAAGAGCAGCGAACGGGUGAGUAACGCGUGGGGAAUCUGCCUUUGAGCGGGGGACAACAUUUGGAAACGAAUGCUAAUACCGCAUAACAACUUUAAACAUAAGUUUUAAGUUUGAAAGAUGCAAUUGCAUCACUCAAAGAUGAUCCCGCGUUGUAUUAGCUAGUUGGUGAGGUAAAGGCUCAACAAGGCGAUGAUACAUAGCCGACCUGAGAGGGUGAUCGGCCACAUUGGGACUGAGACACGGCCCAAACUCCUAAGGGAGGCAGCAGUAGGGAAUCUUCGGCAAUGGACGAAAGUCUGACCGAGCAACGCCGCGGGAGGGAAUAAGGGUCUCGGAUCGGAAAACUCUGUUGGUAGAGAAGAACGUUGGUGAGAGUGGAAAGCUCAUGAAGUGACGGUAACUACCCAGAAAGGGACGGCUAACUACGUG